Molecule: ribosomal RNA, 468 nt
Filed under: uncultured bacterium
Lineage: Bacteria
Description: partial 16S ribosomal RNA
Rfam family: Bacterial small subunit ribosomal RNA
Source: RNAcentral
GACGAACGCUGGCAGCGUGCUUAACACAUGCAAGUCGAACGGAAAGGCCCUGCUUUUGUGGCGUGCUCGAGUGGCGAACGUGAGAAUAACCCGUGGGUAGCCUGACCAUGGCUUUGGGCUGCCUUCAGGACACUAGAGCUAAUACCGGAUAAGAGCUCCUGCUGCAUAGGGGGGGUUGGCAAGUGUCGGCGGAUGGGGAUGGGCUCGCGGCUUCUCAGCUGGUUGGUGGGGGAGUGUCUUACCAGGUAUUUGACGAGUAGCCGGCCUGAGAGGGUGACCGGCAACAUUGGGACUGAGAUGCGGCGCAGAAUACUACGGGAGGAAGCAGUGGGGAAUAAUGCACAAUGGGCGGAAGCCUGAUGCAGCAACGCCGCGUGCGGGAUGAAGGCCGUCGGGUUGUAAUCCGCUUCCGCCUGUGACGAAGCGUGAGUGACGGUAAUGGGUAAAGAAGCACCGGCUAACUACGUG